GACGAACGCUGGCGGCGUGCUUAACACAUGCAAGUCGAACGGAAAGGCCCUGCUUUUAUGGGGUGCUCGAGUGGCGAACGGGUGAGUAACACGUGAGUAACCUGCCCUUGACUUUGGGAUAACUUCAGGAAACUGGGGCUAAUACCGGAUAGGAGCUCCUGCUGCAUGGUGGGGGUUGGAAAGUUUCGGCGGUUGGGGAUGGACUCGCGGCUUAUCAGCUUGUUGGUGGGGUAGUGGCUUACCAAGGCUUUGACGGGUAGCCGGCCUGAGAGGGUGACCGGCCACAUUGGGACUGAGAUACGGCCCGGACUCCUACGGGAGGCAGCAGUGGGGAAUAUUGCACAAUGGGCGGAAGCCUGAUGCAGCAACGCCGCGUGCGGGAUGACGGCCUUCGGGUUGUGAACCGCUUUCGCCUGUGACGAAGCGUGAGUGACGGUAAUGGGUAAAGAAGCACCGGCUAACUACGUG
Molecule: ribosomal RNA, 468 nt
Filed under: uncultured bacterium
Lineage: Bacteria
Description: partial 16S ribosomal RNA
Rfam family: Bacterial small subunit ribosomal RNA
Source: RNAcentral